GGGGCUGUAGCUCAGUUGGCUAGAGCGACUGGUUUGCAUCCAGUAGGUCGUGGGUUCGAGUCCCAUCAGCUCCA
RNAcentral lists this transfer RNA (74 nucleotides) under Actinomycetota bacterium. RNAcentral describes it as "tRNA-Ala". It matches the Rfam family "tRNA". Rfam says of the family: Transfer RNA (tRNA) molecules are approximately 80 nucleotides in length. Lineage: Bacteria; Bacillati; Actinomycetota. The record is from RNAcentral.